This 1372-nucleotide ribosomal RNA is filed under the name uncultured bacterium. RNAcentral's name for it is "bacterial SSU rRNA". It matches the Rfam family "Bacterial small subunit ribosomal RNA", at positions 28 to 1381 of the family's 1533-position model. The record is from RNAcentral.
GAUGAACGCUGGCGGCGUGCCUAAUACAUGCAAGUCGAGCGAACGGACGAGAAGCUUGCUUCUCUGAUGUUAGCGGCGGACGGGUGAGUAACACGUGGAUAACCUACCUAUAAGACUGGGAUAACUUCGGGAAACCGGAGCUAAUACCGGAUAAUAUUUUGAACCGCAUGGUUCAAAAGUGAAAGACGGUCUUGCUGUCACUUAUAGAUGGAUCCGCGCUGCAUUAGCUAGUUGGUAAGGUAACGGCUUACCAAGGCAACGAUGCAUAGCCGACCUGAGAGGGUGAUCGGCCACACUGGAACUGAGACACGGUCCAGACUCCUACGGGAGGCAGCAGUAGGGAAUCUUCCGCAAUGGGCGAAAGCCUGACGGAGCAACGCCGCGUGAGUGAUGAAGGUCUUCGGAUCGUAAAACUCUGUUAUUAGGGAAGAACAUAUGUGUAAGUAACUGUGCACAUCUUGACGGUACCUAAUCAGAAAGCCACGGCUAACUACGUGCCAGCAGCCGCGGUAAUACGUAGGUGGCAAGCGUUAUCCGGAAUUAUUGGGCGUAAAGCGCGCGUAGGCGGUUUUUUAAGUCUGAUGUGAAAGCCCACGGCUCAACCGUGGAGGGUCAUUGGAAACUGGAAAACUUGAGUGCAGAAGAGGAAAGUGGAAUUCCAUGUGUAGCGGUGAAAUGCGCAGAGAUAUGGAGGAACACCAGUGGCGAAGGCGACUUUCUGGUCUGUAACUGACGCUGAUGUGCGAAAGCGUGGGGAUCAAACAGGAUUAGAUACCCUGGUAGUCCACGCCGUAAACGAUGAGUGCUAAGUGUUAGGGGGUUUCCGCCCCUUAGUGCUGCAGCUAACGCAUUAAGCACUCCGCCUGGGGAGUACGACCGCAAGGUUGAAACUCAAAGGAAUUGACGGGGACCCGCACAAGCGGUGGAGCAUGUGGUUUAAUUCGAAGCAACGCGAAGAACCUUACCAAAUCUUGACAUCCUUUGACAACUCUAGAGAUAGAGCUUUCCCCUUCGGGGGACAAAGUGACAGGUGGUGCAUGGUUGUCGUCAGCUCGUGUCGUGAGAUGUUGGGUUAAGUCCCGCAACGAGCGCAACCCUUAAGCUUAGUUGCCAUCAUUAAGUUGGGCACUCUAAGUUGACUGCCGGUGACAAACCGGAGGAAGGUGGGGAUGACGUCAAAUCAUCAUGCCCCUUAUGAUUUGGGCUACACACGUGCUACAAUGGACAAUACAAAGGGCAGCGAAACCGUGAGGUCAAGCAAAUCCCAUAAAGUUGUUCUCAGUUCGGAUUGUAGUCUGCAGCUCGACUACAUGAAGCUGGAAUCGCUAGUAAUCGUAGAUCAGCAUGCUACGGUGAAUACGUUCCCGGGUCU